Long non-coding RNA from Populus euphratica (Euphrates poplar), 793 nucleotides. RefSeq lists it as uncharacterized. NCBI's taxonomy places the organism in Eukaryota, Viridiplantae, Streptophyta, Magnoliopsida, Malpighiales, Salicaceae. The record is from RefSeq and is a predicted model, not a curated record. The transcript has 3 exons.
AGCCCUUCUUCUUCUUCUUCUUCCUUCUGUUAUUUCUUCUUAUCCACGUCACUACCUUAAAUGCUGUGUGAAACAAAUUACUAGCAGAUUUGAAAAUUUGGAUCCUGAGGCUUCCGAAUGUGCAAGUUUUCUAUGUUUUUUUUAGAUUUGAAAACUGUUCUGGAAUUGGAAUUUUUUAUGGUAAAACUAUUAUUUUUACGACUCACGGGUUGGAAGCUCGGGAGGCCAUCAGAGCAGGAUAGCAUCCAUUGCUUGGAAUGGUCAAUCUCCAACAUCAGGAAGCCGUGACAGUGCUCUACUUCACCUUUUCUUUACUUAUUAUUACUUUUCAACACAGGGAGAUGAUUUUAACUUUCCUAUUUCCUUGUAUCUGCAAAUUCACUGACAAUAAGAGUGAGAAAUAAUCCAACUUCAUGCAUAAAAGCACACACCGAAGAAGUGUGAGUUUGAAGUGGUCAUUUGAAGGUGGUGUACUGGCAAGUGGAGGAAAUGAAAGCUCUACAUGCAUAUGGGAAGCUUAAAAAAUGAGCUCUUUGAACUUCUUGGGUCGACUCAAUGCCCAAAGCACUUGCUUGGUGUCCCUAUCAAUUCAAUGGACUGGCCUCGGGAGGAGGCACGGGAGAUGGAUGCAUUACGAUAUGGAAUAUAAAAGUAGGGACUUGUACUCGUAGUUCGAAACCAAAGCAAUGGCGAGUUAUGCUUUGUGGGAUCUUUUACUUACUUAUCUCGUGUGUGAUUGCCUCAUAAACUCCAUCUGCAUCUGGAGUAUUUAAUUAAGGAUUUAGUGUUUGUU